ACCACUUCUUGGCCUUUUGGCUAAGAUCAAGUGUAGUGUCUGUUAUCAGUUCAAUAUCUGACAUGCCCUCUAUCCGAGGACAAUGUAUUAAAUGGAUUUGGGGAGCAGGGCGAUGGAAUAGGAGCUUGCUCUGUCCACUCCACCAUCGACCCGGUUUUGCAGUCCCUCCGGGGACAGUGCAUAAAAA
Molecule: small nuclear RNA, 187 nt
Organism: Molossus molossus (Pallas's mastiff bat)
Lineage: Eukaryota; Metazoa; Chordata; Mammalia; Chiroptera; Molossidae
Product: U2 spliceosomal RNA
Exons: 1
Source: RefSeq, a predicted model, not a curated record